RNAcentral lists this ribosomal RNA (20 nucleotides) under Heterococcus crassulus. Its description in RNAcentral is "partial 5.8S ribosomal RNA". Lineage: Eukaryota; Xanthophyceae; Tribonematales; Heteropediaceae. The record is from RNAcentral.
GCAUGCUUGUUGGAGUGUCU